UGAUUUUAGAGAUGAAGAAACCAACACCAAAUAUAUCAGCUUGAGAAGAUUCAAGAGCACACUUCAUGAAACAAGACAUGAAAUUAACGAAUAUCCAUGGAAACAUAAUUAAAUUAUCUUUGGAAACAUAACUGUAUCAAGGACAAACAAAAUUCCUUUAGCUAGCAGCUGGUUUGUAUCUUUAUAUAAUAUGCUUGCAUGGAAGCCCACAAAUAAUAUGCUUG
RNAcentral lists this long non-coding RNA (224 nucleotides) under Hordeum vulgare. RNAcentral's name for it is "long non-coding RNA (HVUL_LNC010769)". Lineage: Eukaryota; Viridiplantae; Streptophyta; Magnoliopsida; Poales; Poaceae. The record is from RNAcentral.